AGUGAACGCUGGCGGUAGGCCUAACACAUGCAAGUCGAACGGCAGCACAGUAAGAGCUUGCUCUUACGGGUGGCGAGUGGCGGACGGGUGAGGAAUACAUCGGAAUCUACUUUUUCGUGGGGGAUAACGUAGGGAAACUUACGCUAAUACCGCAUACGACCUACGGGUGAAAGCAGGGGAUCUUCGGACCUUGCGCGAUUGAAUAAGCCGAUGUCGGAUUAGCUAGUUGGCGGGGUAAAGGCCCACCAAGGCGACGAUCCGUAGCUGGUCUGAGAGGAUGAUCAGCCACCCUGGAACUGAGACACGGUCCAGACUCCUACGGGAGGCAGCAGUGGGGAAUAUUGGACAAUGGGCGCAAGCCUGAUCCAGCCAUACCGCGUGGGUGAAGAAGGCCUUCGGGUUGUAAAGCCCUUUUGUUGGGAAAGAAAAGCAGCAGGUUAAUACCCCGCUGUUCUGACGGUACCCAAAGAAUAAGCACCGGCUAACUUCGUG
Molecule: ribosomal RNA, 492 nt
Filed under: uncultured bacterium
Lineage: Bacteria
Description: partial 16S ribosomal RNA
Rfam family: Bacterial small subunit ribosomal RNA
Source: RNAcentral